UGCUUUGAGCAGUAGCAGUAUCGUAGCCAAUGAGGUUUAUCUGAGGCACGAUUAUUGCUAAUUGAAAAAGAAAAUGUACUUCUUUCAGAAGAAAUUAUGAUCUUUCUCUGACCUUUAUUAUUCAUUUAACGUUUAUUGAGCAAGUAUUUCAGAUUGCUCAGAA
Small nuclear RNA from Heterocephalus glaber (naked mole-rat), 163 nucleotides. Its record names the gene U4. It matches the Rfam family "U4 spliceosomal RNA". Rfam says of the family: U4 small nuclear RNA (U4 snRNA) is a component of the major U2-dependent spliceosome. The structure of U4 snRNA from yeast and human has been reported. U4 snRNA presents a k-turn RNA motif in the 5p-SL related to recognition of Snu13 protein. The record is from Ensembl. NCBI's taxonomy places the organism in Eukaryota, Metazoa, Chordata, Mammalia, Rodentia, Bathyergidae.